Molecule: small RNA, 11092 nt
Filed under: Rattus norvegicus (Norway rat)
Lineage: Eukaryota; Metazoa; Chordata; Mammalia; Rodentia; Muridae
Description: uncharacterized LOC102547720
Source: RNAcentral
CAAAGAUCUUCCUGGCUCUACUUCUUAGGUGUUAGGAUUCAAAGUGUGCCACCAUGACCCACGCCCUGCUGUGUGAGCAUAUUUUAAGAUUUUCAACAUAACUAUCCGUUUUCCUCCUUGUAGUGGAGGAGGGACCUGAGGUACCAGUCAGGUUCUAUACCCAGGGUCCUGUAGCACAGGCUGGAACCAGACCCAGUUGGACCAAGGUUGCACUCUCAGCAGCUAAGCUAUUGGAUAACCGAGUUGCUUAAUGCGACCCUUGUUGUCUAGUGUUGUGGUUUUGUUUUGUGUUCUUUUCUCUCUACCAGGCUUGCUCUACUGGAUUGGUCCACGGCUGAAUACAUGCUUUGUCUUUGGUUGCUAGCACAAAAGCCUUUUCUAUGAAUGUUCUUUCUCCUGGCCUAAUUAUUCCAAAGCAGGAGCACCUGUGUUAUCUGAAGGGCACUAGGCCGCUGGUCCCUGAGGCGACAGGCUUGAGAAAGCACCCAGUGGGAUGAGUGUAUCUGAAGGAGCCCAAGCCCUGCUGCCUGCAACCCUAUAACUAGGUUAAUUGUUAUGAUGGCGGCGUUCAGAGCCAUGAUCUCUGAGGUCACGAGGCCAAGGGUUUCUGGUAAAGAGCCCAGAGUUCAGGGUGGAAGGCGAGGCCCAAACAACAGGAAGAAAAUGAGGUCAGCCACACAAGCGUUACAACACGAGGCUGUACUAGGAAAAGCAAAUGUAAAAAAGUCUCUUGCUGUCAGGCUCACUGUAGAAUGGCGGUGGCCACAGCGCUGGGUGGGUCGCAGAAGAACAUUGUUCUGCCCUGUGGAGCGAAGAUCACUUCUGAGGGGCAUCCUAACGACCACGACAACCUUCGGUACCCAACCCAUUCUCCUUUCCCGUGAUUCCUGACAGUGCCACGCCUUAGUUCCCGUUCAGAUGGAGUUCCCUCUACUGGUUUUAGUUCUCGGGGACAUUCUUACGGUUUACUGUCCCUGUGGAUUGGGAAUUAGGCUGAGACUUCAGAAUCUCUUCACAGCAGUUUAGAGCAGUCUGGGAACUGUUUCAACACUAGCUCUGAGAAUCCGCCAUUGCCCCAGUAGCGAGAAGCAGCACCCAGAAACCUGUUCUUUCCUGUCAUAUUGCUUAUGGGUUAGCCUGGCCUUCGGUUCUGACCCAAGUCCAGAUCUGCUGGCACCAUGAAGCUGCAACUGGGCAGUGUUGAUACAUUUUCUGCAUUGCACAACACAUGCGUUUGCUUGCUUUAUGACUUCAUUAUUUAUUUAAAUUUACUUCGAAGACUGCUGUGGUCCCAGACUGUUGGAAAUUUUGAGUUCCAAACUGGGUUUUAGUCUGUUCCCAAGUCUCUGGUGAUUUGGACAAAACCUAUUCUGUAGGGUAGGGAUAUCCUGCUUGUCUUGUUGAAUUUGGAUGCCUUCUGGUUUUUGUAACUAUGAAUAAAAGUGCACACAUAUUGUUCUGGUUUUAAACAUGGUCAGGCUUUGGUCCCUAAGACUUCCUGUGGAAGUUCUGGAGCUGGUAGCUGGCUCCCUGGUCAGUUCUCUUUGUCCAUUCAGAUCAUACUGGUUGUAUUUUAGGAUCCUGAGCAAAUGGAAAAAUAUACUUAUCUCACAUUGAAAUGUGUAAUAUAUUAAAGAAAGGUGAUCCAUGAGAAUAUAUUCUCUUUUCACAGGUCAGACACAUAACUCGGCUACAUCACAUGACAGAACCUAACAAAUGGAGCCCUGACAAACCGGUGCUCUUGUAUCCUUGCCGUGGAACACCCUUGGUCAUCCAGCAGGCUGUUCUUAAAGAACCCACUGCCGGGAGUUACUAAGGACUCACUGCAGCGCGCCUCCCUGAGGAGAAACACAGAAAGGAAUAGCAAGUGUGGCUCCCUGUUCCAACCUAGGCUUGGCGUGUGAGAGGCCCUGGACUCGAUUCCCAAAACCAGGAACCCAUUGCCAAAAGAACUUAUUAGUAUUAUUAGUGACACCAGAAACAUUGACCAGAGCCCAAGGUAGUUAUCUCUCUGUGCCAACAUUUAAGGUAACCUUUCUUUUUCUUAUUUGUCUAUAUUUGCUUGCUUGGUUUUUAAAGACAGGGUCUCAUAUAACCAUUGCUGUCCUCAAACUCACUCUGUAGCCAGGGCUGACCCAGGUAAGCACCAUAGCAGUAUUAUCAUUGUUUGAUGCUAACAGGGGCUAUAGAUGAUGAUGGUGAUGAUGACGAUGAUGAUGAUUUUGUUUUCUUGAGCUCAUUGCAGUGAAAAUGCAUUAACUUAAAUUUGGUCUACCCUGUGGUGUUUUGGGGUUAUGGUUGGGGCUAGAGUUUUUCUUUGAAAAGUACAGGCUGGGUGUAGAGUUUACUGAGGAGUUCAGAGCACCUCUAACACUAGCACUCAGGAGGCAGAGCUUAGGAGUUCGAACCUGGGCUACUUAGUGGGAACCCUGAAGAGUCUGUUAGCCUGGCACACAUUGAGAGACCUCCCCCACGCCCUCCGUGAAGAAUGUUUGCGAUAAACAUUUGCAGUAAAGGCAAUGGGUGCCUAACAGAAGCUGACGAUGGCACAUCCUACAGACCCAGCGAGCUGUCCACACAGUCCCUUCUGCAUCCAUAUUAACUAAGGAACAGCAAAGCAACAGGAAAACUGGAUGUUACAUGAUGUGAACCAUGUAGCAGGAAGUUCGACACCCCCCCACCCCCCUUCAAACGCUGUUAGCAUCUCAGGUUCAGAGUACUUAGAGGAGUAUGUGUUAAGUUUACUACUUUUUGUUUCUUGGCAUCUACAUGUCCCUGAGUUAGAAACGUGAGAGUGACUCCCCCAAAACCAUCCUCCAAGCUAUGAAGUCAGUGGGUUUUCUCUACAACUCAAACUCUAGAACUGUAUAUACAAUCAUGUCUAUUUUACUCAAAUUUAAAUGAGGUAAAAUUAAAUAUUUCUUUAGCUAUAUUGGGCACAUUUGAAGAAACAGUGACAUUGGAUGACUGGUGGCUGCAGUACUGACUCACUCAGAUAAGGGCCCUCGUCGCAGAAAGCUCUCCUGAACCAAACUGUGGGGCUCCAGUAAAACUCAGAGGCUCGCACACGGAUGACUGUUAAUUGAAGGUCUUGCAACUCAGCUCAGGUCAGCAAGAACCAGGCCUGUGGCUUCAGAAAUGGGAGGGAGAGAUGGUCUCUUGGCUGCUGAAACUAUAGACAACAGAUGCAGUGGGGGGUGGGGGAGAAGGGGUUGCGUCUUCCUUGGCUAACAUUAUCUGAGUACCGGAGAGAGUAGAAAGACUCUUGACUACAAUGGUUGAAGAUUAUGUCCAUAAGAUCUAAGAGCUCUCACUAUUCGUCCUUGCUAAAGAUAACAUGGGUCAGUUCUGUGGUUCUAAUUCACAAACGGGGUGGGGGGGAUAUUGACAGAAUUUAACACGCGUGAAUUGAGAAGAAGUUUGAUGGCCUGUCUUUGACACCACCUGUUUUUGAGUUCCUUCUGUUUUUUUCCUGACUCUGUUUUUGAUUGAUGUUCAACAGUCGGUGGGAAAGGUUCAUAUAAUGGAUGGUCUCUUAAAUUCUUGUACUGAUUUGUAUUUCUAUUCGUUUCCCCACAUCCACUGGGCACUCCAGUUCGCUAGAUUCCUUUUAUUGGUGUUAAAGUAACUUUUGGUGACGCCUACUCUUAUCUCAUACUUUUACCUCAUGACUGCACUAAACAGGCCUUAAGGUUAGGUAGUAGUCAUUAAUUUAUUUGUAUUUCUGGAGAAUGAGCGUGGGGUUUUGGACAUGCCAAGUAAGCAUUUUACUGAGCUAUAAUCACUGUCCUUUUGGAUUUGAAGAAGAGUCUCAUUAAGUUGCCGAAGUGGCCUUGAACUUACUGCCUACCCUUCCUAGGCCUUGAACUUAUGGUCCUCCUUCCUUGGCCUCAUGGGUAUCUGGAACUACAGAUUUGUUCAGAUUAGAGUAGUACGUACAAUUUAUGGCAUUGCCUAAAGAAAUUUAAACAUAGCUAAAAUUGUGGAAUAUCCCAUUUAAUUCCCCCCUUCUUUUUCCAUUUUUAUCUACUAGGAACUAUUUUGAUGGUCAGGGAAACACUUAAAUGAUUUAGCGUGAAUGACUGAACUGAAUGUAAGGAGCCAGCUUGCUGGGGAUUAAAUAAAUCCUGCUUUCAUUUCGGCGAAGGCCGCUCCAACUAAGUUUUCCAAGCAUUUGUCAUGCAGCAAGGAGAACCACAGGCCCUUAGCAGAAUUCUCCGCUUUCACUCUGCCGGUCUCAGAGGCAAUGCUGUCUGCAUACACCGUCAUGAUAUUUCCGUAACAAAGCACAGUUGACAAAAAGGGAACCGCCAAGAAAAUAGAUUUGUUUCUGCAGAUGGCAGGAGAAGGGAUGGGGUACCUGGCCAUGUUUCACAACACAGUUCACAACAUCCCAGUCUCUCUGCUGCUCAGUCUUUCACAGGCCAGAAGGUAGAAGAUUGUCUGUUUGCAGGAGACUCCCUCAGGAAUCGGUGUGAGAUGUUCAAACGCACCCGGAGUCAGCGUGCUGACAAUGAUCAGGAAAAAAAGAUGAACCCCACGAGCAUCUGGGCUGUGUACAAAGAGCCAUCGCGUCGCAGACUCGGGAGUGAUAUAUGACCCACCUGGAAAAGUGCAUUUAGCUUGGAUAAGCUCGAUUCCAGAAGUACAGGGACCGUUGGAGAGAGUUAAGAGAAAACCGUUUUGAAUGAUGAGGUCACGACUAAAGUGUGAAUGCGGGAUGCAAACCCCGGUCAUCACACUUUGAGUUGUGCUAAGGGGCAAGCUGUGCAUUACGUUUCCUUGCCCAUCCCUUGGAAGAAGUGCUGUUCUCUCGUCUUGAGGGAAAAGGCAACGUACAUCCUGCAGCCUCUUGGCAGGGCCAGGAGGUUCCAUAGAUUGUCCUGUGAAAUUCCCAUUUGUGUCGAUGGAGAAUCCAGGCACCGGGAAGAGGAAACCCAAGACUCUCACAACAGUGACAGAAAUCUCCGAGCGAAGCAAGAAUGUGAAGCAAUGGUGUGUUUUAAACCUGAGGUACUGUGGUGAUCCAUUAUCCUGCCAGUGACGCUGAGCCUCAGACCUGUGUGUUCACGUGUACCCAGGGAUGACUAACACACGUGGGAUAUUCCCUUUGGUGUGUUUAAUAAUUUUAGUCAAAAUAGGAAACGUACCUACAGUUCACCUCAUGCCAAAUCAAACAAGAUUACUCACAUGACCCAUGUCUCGCUGAUAGAUGAAUUCUGACGGGGAAAUGUCAAAACAUGACGCAUGGCUUUUGAUUUGCACUUAGUCUGCAGGGAGCUGAGCGGUGGCUCUCUCCAAAGGAGAAAAACCCCAGCUAGGGCUUCCCUGGAAACUUCUACAAGAAUUCAUACAGAACUGGCCCCCAGCUGCCAUUUAAAAGGUCUCUUCUCUUGGAGUAUCCAAACACACUCCAAUGUCCUCAGACUGGCCAUUUCGGCCUUCAGCUUCGGAAAGUCGUGAUAACUCAGAAUGACAGCUAGACAUGGAAGUAGAAGAAUGACAAGGAUAAACAGGUAUGGGGGUGGGGGGUGGGGACAGAGCAAGGGCCACACUUACUGUAAGGACACUAAGGCUUCCACAAACCUCUAUUAUCACCCACAAGUCAUAUCAGGUGGGAGCCCUGUGAGGUAACUCUGUUGUCCUUAUUUCAAGGUCAAGACUUAGGACCUUGUGUGUGUAUGUUGUGUGAGUUUGAGUGUGUGUGUGUGUGUGUGUGUGUGUGUGUGUGUGUGUGCCUAGAGGUUGAUACUGAGUACCUUCCUCAGUAGAUGACUACUUUAUCUUUUUGAAGACAGGGCUUUUCACUGAAGCUCACUGUGUUUAUAGACUGGCUGGCCAGUUGACCUAUGAGUUCUAGAAUCUUCUGUCUCUGCCUACUCCCAGAAGAGAGGGGUGACAGGUGUACACCGUGUCUGUCUUUUACAUGGCGUGCUCAGGAUGGCACUCACAUCCUCAUGGCCUUGUGGUAAGAACCACUGACCUGGCCACUUUUGUUGAAAAUCAAGUGCUAUGUAUGGAGUUGGACUUGAAUCCACAUCCAGCAUUAUUAAAGACUUCCAACAGGGUCCUUCUCUUCUUUAUUAGCACCACAAGGUGAUGAACCUUAUCAUACACAUACUUGGGGGAUAAAUACUGAUUUUCUUGUGUGUUUUUAUCCUCUAAUGUCACUUUUGGUGGUUUUAGGCCAGUUUAAUAUAGGUUUUCAGAUUCUAAUUUUUUUCGGUGGUGGGUGUUGGAUGGCUCCUUUUGUAUGAUCCUGAUAAAUGACAGUUGGUUGUACUGUACUGUUUUACUGAGAUAUUUCUUUUUUCUCCCUGAGUGCCAACCACAAAGGGAGGAGAAAGAAGAGGUUCUUUACCUGGAUUAUAUAACCUGGACACACAAGCUAAUAACAUUAAGGAGGGUGACGACAGCCAAUGAGUGCAGACUUCAUUUGUCAGGCCCACUGUUGGAUGGUUUGUGGACAGGAGUUAUUCCAGUACUCGCGACAUGCUGAGCAAAGUGUCACUGUGACAGUUUCACCAAUCCCACAGUGGCCCUAAGUCCCCGAGGAACCAGGAAUAUCCUUGUACUUGUCGGAGUUUUACAGAUUAAAUGUGACAAUCUCUGGAAGGCCUCCAAGCCAUGUAACAUGAAUUCGCCUCAUGCCACUCAUGCCAUUGCUUCUUGACGUCGGCUAAAACGGUUAAUGACACUGGGUCAAGAGACACUGGCGGAGACCAGCCUGCGUUGUCUCUAGUGAAACAGGGAGCCAGGUGCUACCUGCCUAACUCCGUCAGAGUGUCUGCAAAACACAUCAUGGAACCUCCCUCGCCUGUCGGGGUUUUCUCUUCCAAGUCCCCACAGCUGCUCGACUUUGAGUGGGCAUGGUUUAUUAAUGACCUUCCCUGACUGGGCAUACGUGUUUUUGGAAUCCAUUUCCCUCAGGACCCAUGUACAUGAGUUCUCCUUAGACUUUAGGAAAAGCCUCAGUGAAUGGCAUCAGAAAUGGCAUUCCCAGGUCCAGGGUCCACUCAGCCCAGCUCUGCACUUAGGUGUCCUUCAUGAUACAGGUUCCUGGAUAUACACACAUCCAGGCAUGGUCUCCAGGAAGUGCUAUGGCUGCAGAUGCAGUACAGCCAUACAUCACUUGCCUAGGAUAUGAAAGCCAUGGCUCAAAACACGGUCUCACGACCAUCCAAAACCAUACCACCAGCAAAAAUAUUUAAACAUCUAUAGUCUCACCAUUCAGGAGUCGAGGCAAGAGGGUUGUUGUGAGUUGCUGGUUAGCCUUGGCUAUGUAAGUGAGCUUCAGACUUUGUGUAAGUUAUGUCUCCCUCCUAAGAGUGCUCUGAGGAGACCACGCUCUCCUCGGCACUACACUCAUAGAAAACCACUGACACAGCCCAUCCUAUUCUUUCUCUUCCUUAGGCUUGGAAUUUCUAGAGCAGGUUUUCACUGACGAUGCAGCAGACUGCCGGGUAUCCAUUUGUGUGAGAGAUGAGAAGGUUUGACGCACAAAGCCACCAGAAUCUUGGCAACAUUGAGUCAAUGGCACCUAGCACAUCACAGUAUUAUAAUCGGCGUUUGCCCAGCUCCCUUCCCCCUUACUUGCAGAAACCAAAACCAAAACCAAAAACAAACCACUGACUUCCACUAAGAAUGUCUUUUAAGGACAGCAAAAACUAUUGCAAAAAUCCAAAUCCCUGAACAUGUAUCAUUAACAUGACUUAUGACAGAAGCAAAAUGCCUCCAAAACAUAGUUCAAUGUCUAGGAAGAUGGCUCAGCGGAAAAGGGAGCUAACUAUGCAAGUGUGCAGUCCUGAGUUCAAAUCCCCAACAUCUCAGUAAGACAGGGGAACAUUACUGCACAGUCUUAUGAUGCCGGCACAUGGAGCAGAGAUCCUGGAACUUUCUGGCCAGCCUAGCGACAAGCUUGAUGUUUAGAGAGAGAUGAGAGAACUUCCUCACACUCGUGUGCAUGCAUUACGCACACACACACACACACACAUACACAUACACACACAUACACACACACACACAUACACACACAUACACACACACACAUAUGCAGUCCAAUUCCAGCAGAAGUCCGUCUUGUUGAAAACACUUGUGAACUCUUAGUGUCAGGGGCUGAACCCGAUGUCCCUGCCAUGAAUGUCAUCUCUACUUCAGGAGCAGCUAGCAGACACACUAGGGUGGACUUGUGUGCUCUGCAGAGAUAUUCUGUAGCAAACGAAUAAAGAGCCUGUCGCUGCAAGGAAGACACCCAAUGAGAGGUGUUGCCAAUGACAUAAACACCCAGAUACAAAGCGUCACCUAACGAAAGAUGUGAGCCUGCCCUGUGAGCUUGAUCCUUUCCCACAUCCUUGAGAUGGGCUAUUCUGAUGCACUCGGUGCUGACGGUCACAGAAGUGUUCCUUCGUAGGUGUGCAACUGUGGUGGCAUUUAGGAAAUUCUGUAUGUCAGUGAAACUAUUUUCCAAGUGAGCAAUUCGCGAUGUCUCAGCAUCCUGCAUGUAAUCUAUGGGGAAAUAUUUGCUUCAAAUGUAAGACUUAUCAAAGCAUUUUACUAUAAGCAAGCUUUAACGUUUUCUUUUUUUUUUUCUGUGUGUGAAUGUGACCAUGCAUGAGUAUGAGCACGUGAGUGUGGAUGUACUUGGAGUCAAGGAGAGGGCAUCGGAUCUCCUGGGGAUGGAGUCAUAGGUAGCUGUGAGCUGUCUGAAGGUGCUGGGAAUUGAACUCUAAUUCAAAGCAGCAAGCGCUUUCAAUGACUGUACCACCUCCCUGUCCCUAACAACAGAGUUGUUAAACUAAACAUGGUUUCAAAUCCCAUCUUGCAAUUGGCCUCUACUCCAGAAGGUUUGUCACUGAGCAGAGAAUCAAGCUUACUUGAAAAGGUCAUUAGAAUAUUCUUUCCUAGCAAUUCUUACCUACCCAACACAACACCUCAAUAUGACAGACGGGCCUAGAAGGGGAGAGGAGAACGUAGUUCCCUCAACUCAAGCCUCAAACAUAUUCACAAAACAUUCAAAUAACAUCACUUCUCUUCCUAAUCUUCCAUUUUAGAAAUGUGCUUAUUUUUCUUUAAAAAGAAAAUGUGUUUUAUGGGGCUAGCAAGAUAGACCAGCAGAUAAAGGCCUUUGCCACCUCAAAAGCAAGCUUAGCAACCUGAAUUUGAUCCCAAGGCCUCAAGGGAAGCUAUGGGGAGAGAAAUGGCUCCACGAGGUUGUCCUCUAACCUUGAAGUGAGUGGAUGCACACACAUAAUCAUAUAUUAAAUUACAUUUUAUAAUGUGUCACAUGAAAUGGGCUUGUUAUGACUCUUUUAUUGAAUUAGCAAUGGCUCAUGCACGCACAAUAAUAAUAAAUUAAAAUUUAUAAUGUAUCACAUGAAAUGGGUUGAUUGUGACUCUUUUCAAUAGAAUUAGUAAACACAUAUUCAGUUUUUUCAGUUGUAAUUUCCAAUGUGAUCAAUAUUUAAGGCUAUGACCCACAUAAAGGGAAGCUCGUGUGCUCCUGGAUACUUUUUCAAUUUGUGAGACUGCAUCUCAUGCAGUCCAGUCUGGCUUCUAACUUACUAACCAGGUAGUUGAGAAUGGCCUUAGUCUUCUGAUCCUGUUGUCCCUGUCUCCUGAGUGCUGGGGACAGAGCCACUCGCCCGCACACCUAGUGUAUGGAGUGCUCACAGCUGCUGGGUGAGCGUCCCUACAGCCCCAGACCCCUCUGUAAGGAUGGAAAGUUUAAAAAGAAUAGAAGUUCCUGGUGCUACCCCUGCUUCAUAACAGGGCAGUGUUUGACUGAGACUCAUUAACUACAUCCACUAGUAUUCACAGAGAAGAGCUGCUAGUUACGCGAUGAGUUGGGUACCAGUUGUAUGAAGGGAACAGAAAGCCAGUUUGUUUCUCUUUAAAGACUGUGUUGAGACAGUCGCAUCCUGACACUUACUUAUUUAACUAUCAAACUAUAAGUCUGACAUUUCCUUGAGAAAGGGUAAUUCCAGGACCUUUCCUAGAUUUUGUUUUGUUUUGUUUUUUUAGAUUGAGCCUGAUGAACCCGGCCUAUAAUCCUGGCUGGGUUAGGAAGCUGAGGCAAGAGGGUCAAAAGUUUAAAGUCUGCUUAGACUGUGGAGUGAGCUCAAGCUCAGCCCAGGGACCGUAAACUGAGGGCUGAGAAGCCAUCGCUUGCAUGAGGUGCUGGCCUGAAGUACUGCAAAGGAGAAAACAAAGGAGGUCUUUAAAGUCUUGUUUGACUUUCCACUUUUCAGUCCUCGGGAUAAAACCCAGGGCCUCGGGUAUGCUGGGUGAACUCUAUACACCACGGCACCAGUUCAUUGGCUAUCUUUAAAUAUGGUAUUAUGGCUGUGAUGUAAGGUAUUUCUAUGCUUACUCAUUCCAGUUUCCUAUGGCAACGUUUUGAGAUCCUCUUAGCCUCGGAGGGAGAUGGAGAGAAGGCUGUACGUUGUGGAGGUACUCAGAGUGAGUUCUGAGUAGCCUAACUCAUGGCCUAAAGUCUCACAGGCACAAGAAGCACAUUGACUGUGCUCUGUCUUAAACCCCAGGCUGCUUACUUCUUUCCUUUGCUAGUACCACUCUGCCUCCUGCGAACCAAGCUAACUUCCGACGGGAGACUAGCUGGUGCUGGCUUUUUGGAAGGGAUGUGCUCAGGGACACUGUGAAGAUGCUCCUUUUAGUCCCAUUGACUAGAGGGGAUACCAAGUCUCAUCCUACUACUAGGCAAAGCUGUCCUUUGUCGAUGGGUGCUUCCGAGGUAGGAUUUAACAGUCUUGGAGAACAUAAAAUACGUAUGCCUCUUCCCAUUGAUUGGAUUUACAUGAAAUGAAAUUUAGUAUGUAGACAGAAAAACAAACAAAGAAACAAACACACACACACACACACACAAACCUACAAGCACACAAGCACCCUGGAUGCUCCAGUUACGUUGUGAGACAGCACUCUGGUGAGAGGCCUUCAGGGCCUUCUCUCAUGGGACUGACAUUCUCUUCCCUGUCUUCUUGGAGAACCACAAGCUUGUCUACUGAGAACUGACAGUGGUAUUCUGCAAGGCCAGGUAAUUUUUAAUAAUCACUUUGAGCUCUGAGACUCUCAGAGU